GUCGUCAGCUCGGGUAGUGAGAUAUUGGGUUAAGUCCCGUAACGAGGGCAACCCUUGUCACUAUUUGCCAUCAUUUAGUUGGGCACUCUAGGGAGACUGCCGGUGACAAACCGGAGGAAGGUGGGGACGACGUCAAGUCAUCAUGGCCCUUACGGGUAGGGCUACACACGUGCUACAAUGGCCGGUACAGAAGGCAGCGAAGCCGCGAGGUGAAGCAAAUCCAGAAAACCGGUCCCAGUUCGAAUUGUAGUCUGCAACUCGACUACAUGAAGUUGGAAUUGCUAGUAAUGGCGUGUCAGCAAUAACGCCGUGAAUACGUUCCCGGGUCUUGUACACACCGCCCGUCACAUCAUGGGAGUUGGUUUUGCCCGAAGCCGCUGACUCAACCGCAAGGAGAGAGGCGUCGAAGGUAAGGCUGAUGACUGGGAUGAAGUCGUAACAAGGUAGCCGUAUCGGAAGGUGCGGCUGGAUCACCUCCUUUAAGGA
Molecule: ribosomal RNA, 486 nt
Filed under: Waddliaceae bacterium
Lineage: Bacteria; Pseudomonadati; Chlamydiota; Chlamydiia; Parachlamydiales; Waddliaceae
Description: bacterial SSU rRNA
Rfam family: Bacterial small subunit ribosomal RNA
Source: RNAcentral